AAUUGGUUAUAACUAAAACCAAUUAUGGUACUUGAAACAAAUUCCACAUAACUCAUAACAAUAUUUUUAUGGACUAAAAUGUCCAUAUCAAACAAUUUUUUCUCAAUCUUAACUUUGAAACUUUGACCACCAAUGUGGUCAACAAGAAUUUGUUACAUCCAGCAAAUACCAUUAAUUAAUUAAAAAAAAUUAGAAGUGAUCUAAU
This 205-nucleotide unclassified non-coding RNA is filed under the name Hevea brasiliensis (rubber tree). Lineage: Eukaryota; Viridiplantae; Streptophyta; Magnoliopsida; Malpighiales; Euphorbiaceae. The record is from RNAcentral.